RNAcentral lists this long non-coding RNA (727 nucleotides) under Ananas comosus (pineapple). Its description in RNAcentral is "long non-coding RNA (ACOM_LNC027483)". The record is from RNAcentral. Lineage: Eukaryota; Viridiplantae; Streptophyta; Magnoliopsida; Poales; Bromeliaceae.
UCCUAAACAAACCGAUCUAUAAGGUCGCACCAGUCGCACAGAAACUAAUAAGUUGAGUUGGAUAAGCCUAGUAAAUUCUGUGCGGCUACGCUCCAUAAUAAAUCUAACGAUAAGAGACUAAAUAGUAGACCUAGUGUAAAGACCCAGCCCACUAACAAUAAUAACUCGUUGGGUCCAAACUAUCGGCCCAAAAUACUUAAGCCGGGUUAUUAUUAUUAGCGCAUAGGUCUCAUAUAAACUGAUCGAAAUCAGUAUACCCUGACGUCGACAGACAAAUCAGGACCAGAUUACCAGGCGAUGUGAGAUUCUAGAGGUGGCUCCCACCAAACCCGUUGGUGUAGUACUUUGUCCCGCAUAGCACUUAGCUCUUACACUUCCAGUUGGUAUUCGUCUCUGACACUAAUUGUAAUGACCUGACUCGCUAGCAACAAUAACUCGUUGGGCCCAAACCAUCGGCCCAAAAUGCUUAAGCCGGAUUAUUAUUACUAGCGCGUAUGUCUCAUAUAAAUUGAUCGAAAUCAGUAUCCCAUCCAAUGUGGGACUAAUGGGUGCGUUACACCUAGUAUCUAGAUGGGUUGAGUCAGAUCGAAACUCGUGAGUGCUGUGACUUAAUUCUUUUGUGAGACUGAUAUGUCCUUUCUAUCGGCACAUAUUUUUGAAAUAAUUAAUCAGCGCUUACGAUUAGAACUCUAUCCAACUCAAAUUGCUAUUUCAAGCUCUAAUUAGA